This 101-nucleotide non-coding RNA is filed under the name Variovorax sp. SRS16. Its description in RNAcentral is "traJ-II". It matches the Rfam family "traJ-II RNA". The record is from RNAcentral. Lineage: Bacteria; Pseudomonadati; Pseudomonadota; Betaproteobacteria; Burkholderiales; Comamonadaceae.
GGGCAAGAUAGGCGAAGUACCCCUACCGCAAGCGGCAGAGCUACUUCGCCUUGCCCUUUAUUCGCACUACGUGCUCAACAGGGCUCUUGCUCUGCGAGGCA